This 757-nucleotide ribosomal RNA is filed under the name uncultured bacterium. RNAcentral's name for it is "bacterial SSU rRNA". It matches the Rfam family "Bacterial small subunit ribosomal RNA", at positions 28 to 776 of the family's 1533-position model. The record is from RNAcentral.
AUUGAACGCUGGCGGCAGGCCUAACACAUGCAAGUCGAACGGUAACAGGAAACAGCUUGCUGUUUCGCUGACGAGUGGCGGACGGGUGAGUAAUGUCUGGGAAACUGCCUGAUGGAGGGGGAUAACUACUGGAAACGGUAGCUAAUACCGCAUAACGUCGCAAGACCAAAGAGGGGGACCUUCGGGCCUCUUGCCAUCGGAUGUGCCCAGAUGGGAUUAGCUAGUAGGUGGGGUAAAGGCUCACCUAGGCGACGAUCCCUAGCUGGUCUGAGAGGAUGACCAGCCACACUGGAACUGAGACACGGUCCAGACUCCUACGGGAGGCAGCAGUGGGGAAUAUUGCACAAUGGGCGCAAGCCUGAUGCAGCCAUGCCGCGUGUAUGAAGAAGGCCUUCGGGUUGUAAAGUACUUUCAGCGGGGAGGAAGGGAGUAAAGUUAAUACCUUUGCUCAUUGACGUUACCCGCAGAAGAAGCACCGGCUAACUCCGUGCCAGCAGCCGCGGUAAUACGGAGGGUGCAAGCGUUAAUCGGAAUUACUGGGCGUAAAGCGCACGCAGGCGGUUUGUUAAGUCAGAUGUGAAAUCCCCGGGCUCAACCUGGGAACUGCAUCUGAUACUGGCAAGCUUGAGUCUCGUAGAGGGGGGUAGAAUUCCAGGUGUAGCGGUGAAAUGCGUAGAGAUCUGGAGGAAUACCGGUGGCGAAGGCGGCCCCCUGGACGAAGACUGACGCUCGUGCGAAAGCGUGGGGAGCAAACAGG